Hipposideros armiger (great roundleaf bat) is the source of this 74-nucleotide non-coding RNA. Lineage: Eukaryota; Metazoa; Chordata; Mammalia; Chiroptera; Hipposideridae. The record is from the annotation of a RefSeq genome assembly.
GGCCAGUUAGCUCAGGUGGUUAGAGCAUGGUGCUCGUAACACCAAGGUUGUCAGUUCGAUUCCCACAUGGGCCA